RNAcentral lists this long non-coding RNA (4439 nucleotides) under Sus scrofa (pig). Its description in RNAcentral is "lncRNA (ENSSSCG00015017179.1)". The record is from RNAcentral. Lineage: Eukaryota; Metazoa; Chordata; Mammalia; Artiodactyla; Suidae.
UUUUUUUUUUUUUUUUAAUCCUUUUAGGGCAGCACCUGUGGCAUACGGAAGUUCCCCGGCUAGGGGUCGAAUCGGAGCUGCAUCUGCCGGCCUACACCACAGCCACAGCAAUGCCAGAUCUGAGCCACAUCUGCGACCUACACCUCAGCUCAUGGCAAUGCUGGAUCCUUAACCCAUUGUGAAGCCAGGGAUCGAACCCGAGUCCUCAUGGAUACUAGUUGGUUUCGUUACUGCUGAGCCACAACAACAACUCCUUUUUUUUUUUUUUUUAAUUUAAUAAACAUAUAUAGCUCCAUUCUGUGUGGGAUUAAAACCUAAGGCUAAGAAAAAUAAAUCAGAGUCCUUCCCUUGAAGAGCUCACCAUCUAGUAGGGAACAAAGGAAGACUGAAGUUUUUAUAGUGCAGCCAGUAAUUUAACAGAGUUGUGUAUGAUGGGAACACAGAGUUAUUCCAUGAAGUUCAUGAGUGAAUCACUGAAUGAAUGAUUUCAUAUUUCAUCCAGAAGGAAUAUUAUGUGUCAGGUGUUGUGUUUGGCACUAGGGUAGGGGCCCAUAACAUCCUUAUCAAAGCCUGUAUUCUGUCCAUGGCUAUCUUUUAAUGCUUUUAUUAAGUCAUAAUUGACAUACAGUACAAUAACAUGCAAUCUGAUAAGUUUUCAUCAGUGUCUGUAUUUCACUACAAUCAAGAUAGUGAAUCUGCAGGAGUUCCCACUGUGGCUCAGUGGGUUACAAACCCAACCAAUAUCCAUGAGGAUGCAGGUUCAAAUCCUGGCCUCCAUCAGUGGGUUAAGGAUAUGGUGUUGCAAGCUAUGGCGUAGGUUGCAGAUGAAGCUCAAAUCCUGCGUUGCUGUGGCUGUGGUGUAAGCCGUCAGCUGCAGCUCCAAUUCAGCCUCUUGCCCGGGAACUUGCAUAUGCUGUGGGUGUGGCCCUAACAAAACAAAACAAAAAAAGCCAAGGAGAGUGGUCUUAUAAGAAACCAAACCUUCUGACACAUCUAUCUCAGACUUUUUGCCUCCAGAAUUGUGAGAUAAUUAAUGUAUGUUGUCUAAGUCCCUCAGUCUAUGUAGCAGUAGUGGAUACAGUAGCCCAAGCCACUACUAUACUUGCUAGACUUACUUAUUAGUUUUCCAUAGGAUAGUCUAUAUAGGCAAUCAUAUUGUCAGUAAAUAUAGUUUUACUUCUUCCUUUCCAAUCUGGAUGCCUUUUCUUUUUCUCAUGUAAUUGCUCUGACUAGGACUUCCAGUACAAUACUGAAUAAAUGUUGCAAAAUAUUACUUCAUGCUUUAAUUUUUCAUCUAUAAAAUAUGGAUAAUAAUAGUAUGUAUCUCCUCAGGCUGUUUUAAGGAUUGAAAUGUGUAAGUAUUAUAGCACUCAUAGAACAGUAUCUGGAUAAUCAUAAGUGCUGUAUAAUUUUUUGUUGUUCAUUUAAAAUCAGGGAAGGUGCAGACAAUACUACAAAGCAACAAUCAUCAAAACUGUAUGGUACUGGCGUGAAGACAGAAAUAUAGAUCAGUGGAACAGGAUAGAAAGCCCAGAAUUAAACCCACACACCUACAGCCACCUCAUCUAUGACAAAGGAGGCAAGGAUAUACAAUGGAGAAAAGACAGCUUGUUCAAUAAGUGGUGCUGGGAAAACUGGACAGCCACAUGGAAAAGAAUGAAAUUAGAACACUCCCUAACACCAGACACAAAAAUAAACUCCAAAUGGAUUAAAGACCUAGCUAUAAGACCAGACACUAUAAAACUCUUAGAGGAAAACAUAGGCCAAACACUCUCUGACAUAAACAACAGCAACAUCUUCUCAGAUCCACCUCUUAGAGUAUUGACAAUAAAAACAAACAUAAACAAAUGGGACCUAAUCAAACUUAAAAGUUUCUGCACAGCAAAGGAAACCCUAAACAACACAAAAAGACAACCCACAGAAUGGGAGAAAAUCUUUGCAAUGAAUCAACUGACAAGGGAUUAAUCUCCAAAAUUUAUAAACAACUUCUGCAGCUCCAUACCAAAAAAAACAAACACCCCACCAAAAAAUGGGCAGAAGAUCUAAACAGACAAUUCUCCAAAGAAGACAUACAGAUGGCCGAGAAACACAUGAAAGGAUGUUCAACAUCACUCAUCAUUAGAGAAAUGCAAAUCAAAGCCAUGAUGAAGUACCACAUUAUACCAGCCAGAAUGGCCAUCAUCAAAAAGUCUACAAACAACAAGUGCUGGAGAGGGUGUAGAGAAAAAGGAACACCGUUGGUGGGAUUGUAAAUUGGUGCAACCACUGUGGAAAACAGUAUAGAGACUCCUCAGAAAACUAAAACUAGAAGUACCAUUUGAUCCAUCAAUCCCACUCCUGGGCAUCUAUCCAGAGAAAACCACGACUCGCAAAGAUACAUGUAUUCCGAUGUUCAUUGCAGCACUAUUUGCAAUAGCCAAGACAUGGAAACAACCUGAAUGUCCAUCGACGGAGGAGUGGAUCAAGAAGAUGUGGUACAUAUACACAUACACAAUGGAAUAUUACUCAGCCAUUAAAAGGAAUGAAAUACCGGCAUUUUUUGCAACAUGGAUGGACCCAGAAAUUAUCACGCUAAGUGAAGUCAGCCAUACAAUGAGACACCAACAUGUGGAAUAUGAAAAAAGGACACAAUGAACUUCCUUGCAGAACAGAUACUGACUCACAGACAUGGAAAAACUUAUGGUCUCUGGAGGAGACAGUUUGGGGGGUGGGGGGAUGUGCUUGGGCUGUGGGAUGGAAAUCCUGUGAAAUUAGAUUGUUAUGAUCAUUAUAAAACUACAGAUGUGAUUAAAAAAAAAAUCUGGGAAGGUGACUAGAUUCUGUUUCAAGAGGUUAGCCAGCCAUGUGGGAUCCCAGAUAUGGAUUUUUCUCCAUCUUCUCCCCCCUCCUUGCUGUCCUGGAUAGCACAGUUAGAAUUUUAGACUGGUAGAAUUAUCUAGCUCUACCUCCAGUCCCAGGCAGGAAUCCCUUCUGCAUGCCACAACCUGACCAGUUGCUGACUACGUUCUGAGCAAAAUUCUUCAGGCUGACUCUACAUUCAGGGAAACCUGAAUUUCUCAAUUCUAGGGAAGGCCUGUGAAGUCUAGCUAUGAGGUGACAGUGAGAUUUCCCAGAGGCUGGGAAGCUAAGUUUCUGUGUUCACCGUAUGUAUCACUCAGCCCUUCAGUUGUUUCUACCAUGACACCUGAUGUGGGUGUUUGUAUCUCCUGUGAUAGUCAGAAAUAAACUCCCUGGAGUGGGUCUCUCGAGAACUGGCAGCUCCUGUUUCUUGCCACUAGGGCACUGAAUUAGGGGCAAGGAUAGGGCUGACUUCUCUGCCAUAGCAAUUGCCCAGGUCCUGAGGCAAUAUCUGAAUAAACUCUAGGCUCUUUUUACUUAGCCCCAUGGGGGGGGGGGGGAGAAGAGGAAUUAGACCCAAUCCUUUUAACAUAGCAUGUUAAAAACAUAAAAACAGACAGGACUCAACAGUGUCUGAUUCCAGGGAAUUCUUGGCUAGAAGAUGUCUUGGUUUCAGAUUUAAAUGAGUUUUUUCCUGAGGGAGCAGCAGGUUGCUUUGCUCACUUAAACAGCAUUGUUACAAACAAGCAAGAGCAGAGUCAAAAUUUCCAACUAAACUCUGGUUAAUAGGAACAUAAGGACUGAUGCUGGGCUUUAGAGUUUUACAUUUCUUGAGCCUGGCAGCUGUAUUUUCCCUCUUUCCACUAAAUGCUAUAGUUUAGGGUUUAGGGAAUUAUGCAAAACACACUUGCAGCAUCAGAGCUUAAAUGGGGUAAGAUCCUUGCCCAGAGGUAUUUGCUGAUGAUGGAGGAAAAAGUCUCUUGAAAAUGAUCCAGCUGCAGGAGACUGAGCAAAGGGUCCCCAGCCUUCUUAGUUCCAGGCCUAUUAUUUUUCUUAAAAUAACUUGGAGAAUUAAGUGCAAAAACAUGCCAAUGUCACAUUUGCUGUGUGCAUUUAGUAAUAAAAAACAUGUGCAAUGCAAAGGCGUGUUUAUUCAACUAGCAAUUGCACUGCAAAACUAUCAACAGCUCACAGCCCAACCUGCCUUCCAAAAUACGACCGUGAUGCAUUUAAAAUGUGCAACUGCAACGGAGGUGCCCACAAAGUACCUUAUUCGAAUUUGCAUAUUUGUGUACAAGGACACAAACAGUUUAUAUAGGGCUUUAGUUCGUUUUAAAUGCUAAACAGGCCCCCAUGAUUUGCUUUGCUUAAAAUGCACACUCAAACUUUAUUAAAAACAUGUUUCAAAAAAAGUUUCAUAAAGCUAGCCACCAGCGAGGCUCGCUGGAGGGGUGGAAAAUGGAUCGUGUAUCUUUAACCCGCAGAAGUUAAAAGGUUUUCUUUUUUUGUUAGCUAACAAUGGAAACUUUUUUUUUUUUUUAAGUGUUUCCCUCCCUCGGUCUUGCCAAGCAAUAGAAAAAAAAAAAAAAAAAAAAAAAAAA